RNAcentral lists this long non-coding RNA (13359 nucleotides) under Jatropha curcas. RNAcentral describes it as "long non-coding RNA (JCUR_LNC002098)". Lineage: Eukaryota; Viridiplantae; Streptophyta; Magnoliopsida; Malpighiales; Euphorbiaceae. The record is from RNAcentral.
AAUAGGAGCGAGUAUAAUUAUGAGAACUUCCAGUUGCAGCUAUCUCAAAGUUCAUGUGAACCCUACCAUCUACUGCCAGAAGUUGUUUGACCUGACACAAGUUAAAAGUGGGAUAUUAUCUUGAACUCAGUGAAAGAAGCCAACAAGUUUGUUAUUACUAUGUUAAGGUGGCAUGCUUACAUCCUAAGAGGUAAACAAGGAAUUCUGCUUGAUGAUUAGUAGGGAACAUCUACAGUUAGAUGCGUUAAUGACAUUGGACUAGUGAAAUUAUGCUCAUCUUAUCAAACCCCUUUAUAAGAUUAGGGAGUCUACAUCCACACAAUGAUUUAGAAUUUUUCUUUAUCUAGUACGUUUUAUCCUUGCCCAACUGAAUAUAUACAUACAUAAUGGAUAUGAAAAUACCUCAUUGUCAACAGCUGAAACAAGCAGAUAUUUGUCAUCAGGAGAAAAGCAAACCAUCACAUUCCCUCUUGAACUUGAGGCUGUAUAACAAGGCCUCUCUGGUUUUUGUCUCAAAUCCCAAAGCUUGACAUCAUGGUCAAAUGACGAAGUAGCAAAUAGGAAGGGAGAACAGUGUGCAAAUUUAGCAACAUUAAUGGGUUCUCGAUGCAUAUUAGUAAACAACUGUAUGCGUCUUCUACUACUAAUGUCAUAUAGGGCAACAUCCUUUGAGUACCCACUGGCAAGAAACUGAUCGUCUGUGGAAUUGACAUGAACAGAAGUCAAUGGCUCAAAAUCAUCAAAACUGACCACUCCUGUCAUGCAAUUUAUAUCUGCAACUUUUGGUGGCAUAUGAUUGAUGUCAAACAGCUUCAAGGAACCAUUAUCAGAACCAGCUAGCAACUGUUCAAUGCAUACAAAAAGCCUUCAGCAAAAAUUGAACUUCUAAGAAUCAAAAUGAAGCAAUAAAUUAGAUGUCCUUCCCAUUAUAUAGCAUUUAUGAAUUACUUCCAAAGACAAGUUCUAGCAACAAAUUAUCUAUCCUAUUGAUACAAUUCUAGUAUCUUUUAGGUGUAAGCAUGCAACUGGCUGAUUUCCCUCAUCCAAAGAACAAAUGUAAAAUAUUUCAAGGUUUAAAUUGCUGCGGAAAGUAUACAAGAUACUGCUGUUGGAAAUAUCACCUUGGAAUUCAGGUGUGAUCUUGACCUACAAAGUCAUCGAGUAAAAUAAACCAAAUCCAAAGACAACCGCAAUUUAUUGUUGAACCAUAUUGAACUUACGAUACCAAACACAAGUGCCUUAGAAACAGAUAAAAGAAAAGGGUCGAAAGUGCAAGACAAAAGUAUUACAAGCCUAAAAUGCUUUAUGGAAAUGGCAUACCUUUGAUGGAUACAUUUUGAGCCAACAAAGACCCAGAAUACUGUUCAUUGCUCCACUGGAAGGAACAUAACCAACAGUCUUCCCAUUUUCAUGAUUAGUGACAACUACUUCACCAUCUAGAGUUCCAAAAACCAUAAGACUAGGAUCAGAUGGAUGAUAUUCGAAUUGUCUAGGGCGAAGACGCUUACUUCCUUCUUUAUGCAGAUGGCUCAAGCUAGACAAAGGGUGCAAGAGGGGCCAUGCAACAGAACCCAGCUUGGCAGCACUAAGAGAUCGUGGAAAGAAAAUUUGACUCUUUCCAUGAGGAUAUUGCUUCUUUGUCUUCUGGAAAUUUGGGCAGGCACCACUUGCUCUCAUUUCACGUUUCUGCAGGAUACUGACAAUGCUUUCUUUGUAUUGUCGGUUAUAGGCUAAGUACUCAUAGAAUUUUGAAGAGAUGAUCUUCGCCAUUUUCUUGUCCAGCUUUCCAACGGGCAAAUUAUCUAAAACCUCCAAAUGAGGCAAUGAAGCAAUUAUAUACUCCCUAUAAUGUUUCUCAAAGCAGAUAGGCGAUGGGUGGUGUGAACUGUAAAUGUUGUUUAACUUAGUACAGUUUUUCUUCAAAUCCCACAUGCAUCCACUUGCAAACAACUCAUUUUUGUCUUCAAUCUAUCAUUCGCCAAAAGAAACCUGUUAGACAAACUAAAAAAAUCCAUCACCAAACAUCUAUAUUUCAAACUUUCCCCCUUCUAAGCAUUUAAUAUGCUUACCUCAUUUUGCAACUUGACUUUUCCAUUCAAAUUAGGAAGCAUGCUGGAUGAUAGUUCCAGCAAAUCUAUUCUUUGCAGGCAGCUUGAAAUUUUAUCUUCAGUAGUGACUGAAAAGUUAUCAGUUCCUCCAUUAACCUCAUUACAUGUAAAUGCAUUUUUGGGAGAAAGCAAGUCACAACAUGACAUUGCAUGAGGAGUGUAAAUAGUUGUGUCAGCAGCAUUGACAGGCAGCAGUUCAAUGGAUGAACCUCUAUCCAACUGAUGCAGGACAUUUGCUUUGUUACCAAAUGAUGCAGGACAUGGCCCAGUGUCCUUGCAACACAAGCAAUUUUGGAAUCGUAGUUCUAGCAAAGAAGGAAGUUUCAAUAAGGCAGCAGUGGUUGUCCAGAGAUCAAUCACUCUUGUCUCACACAUUGAGAGACGCAUCAGAUUGGGCAUGGAAGAAAAACAGUCCCUAUGCAAACUAGCGAUUGAAGUGCAAAAAUCCAGAUUUAAGGUGUGCAAUCGCAUAAAACUUCCAACCAUGUUGAGCUUUUGGAUGUGAGUGGACCUCAAGCUUAAAAUUUCACAAGAUAAGCCAUGGUGACUUAGAUCCCUGGAAAGGUCCCACAAACAACGAUGUUAAAAUAUGAUUUAGAUAGAGAAUACUCCACCUUUCUUUUCAUCCUUUUCAAGCAUAGUUAAUUGGUCACUAGACUCACUGCAUGAUAUAAUGUUUCCUUAGCAAAAGAGGAUGCUAUAUGCUUUUCAUAGAAAGACAAAAUUAACUGUCAUGAACCCAGAAAGACACAGGACACAAAUGUUGGGGCUCUGUAAACUGCUGAAGCAGGGUCUUGGGAUCCUAGAUAAGGCCCUCACUUGAGCAUUCAAAUCUUCAUAAUUGUUAACCAAUACAGAAAGUGCCCACUAGCCGUCCUAAUGGUCUUUCCAUCCAGAUUCUAAAAAUAUGACGGCAGUGGUCCUUUUCAAGUUAUUUUAAGUGAUAAUCUCAUCUCUUAAAACUCAUAAAGUGAUUAGAACUUCUAGCAUCACCAUCAUUUUUCUCUCUCUUCAUAUUCUUUUUUCUUUUUUCUCUUUCUUAAGGAAUUCAAGGUUGGGAAAUUGGAAACGGCAGAAAUCUAUCAGGUAAAGGAAAAUAAAAUAUAGAAGAUAAUGCAUUAUGACUAUGGUAAAUGACAAAGACAAUAAGGACAAGCAAUAAAACAGAAUGGUGAUACCAACCAUAAAAAGUCCUCUUCCAAUGACAUUUCCUGAAGAUCAACAACCCGGAGUUUUAGAUGAAUUGCUCGCAACAAGGAAAGAACAUAUUCUUCCUUCAAAUUGCAAUGCGAUUCAUUGACUAUGUCAACUGCAUCAAUGUCAGAAGAGUCUACUGCUAGGAACAUAUCAAUCAGAGGAGGAAUAUCAUCAUUCUUGAGCUGAUUUAGCAAAACCUCAAAGGUACACUUCUUCUGGAAGAACUUCUGUAUUGUGGCCUAAAUAAAAGAAGAAAAGUUAUGCUUGCCACAAAAUAGUUUCUUCAAUGCAAAAACUGUACAAGUUUGUUACUGGAUCAAUCUACCAGCCAGUGAAGCAAAGAUGAUUAAUAAUCAUAGAGAAGAAAGCUAAGUUUCAUUAUGCUAUCAAGUUAGGACCAUAAGUAUUAUUUCAGAGAAAGAAAUGCACCUCCCAAGGCCAAAAAAACAAAAAAAGAAGAAGAAAAAAAAAAAAGACAGCUUGCUGCUUUAGGAGGUGGGAUAAAACUAACUUCAGAAAAAUCCAGUCCAAGCAGCACACAGUGCAACAUAUGGCUCUUUUCUGAAAGAUGGUUUAAGAAUCCCCUCAAUGCAAGCAAAAUGAUUCUAUACUAACAACCAACUUUUAUCCAAAAAAUAUGAUAUUAAUUGAUAAAAACAACAACAAGUGGACAGCCUUAGUCAGUAACAUCAGAUUCCACAAUCUAAAGCAGUCUGAAGGGAUAAAGGCAGAUGAAGGGGGGAGGUGCGUGUGCAAUAUCCUAACAAAGGAAACACUGUUCCCUAUUAAACAUGAGGGGCGGCGCAAACAUUCAUGAAGAAAGUUUAGUUUAAUAGACCUUAGAGAAGCAUGACAGUACGGCAGAAUUGGGUGGCACCUCAUGCCUCCUGCAAGAAUCAAGAUACCUAGCACAAAAAGAGAACGCAAUCUGAGAAUCAAUAAGAAUCUAAAAGUACAAGGAUUCAGAGAGCAAAAGCCACUAUCAACACCAGCAUCAAGAAAUCAAGCUUUUGAAAAUACUUGCAACUAUCAACCAAUGGAACGAGUCCAAACAUGAAAUGUUCUACAAAACAAAAGUAUUUGAAGCCAGAAUACUAAUAAUUCCACAAAUUUACUUUGCCAAAUAUCAAUAAAGGCAACAACAAGACUCAUAUUCUCAUAGAAACUAUAAAAUUUUCUAAAAAAAACUUAAUUGGCCAGUAAAAAGUUCCCAGAAAAUUUUAAUUAUGAUUCUUUUUUCUUUUUUUGGGUAUGUGAAAUUGUACAUUAGUUCAAUCAUUACUAAUCAAUCAAUCCAACUAGCUGACAGUAAUAUUUAGUUUAGUUAAUGUCGCUUUGAAUUUUGAAGAUUCUUCCCGCUACUGAUCAGAGAAAAGGAAUAGAUCAAAGGGAAGGUUAGCUUUGUGAACUAAUUUAUGCAAAGAUACUAGCUUUGAAUCUGAAAUAGAAAAAAAAAUCAUGUUUUGCUUUGUGGGUGUCCACAGAGGAUCUCUCUCUUUUGCUAAUUUCAGUCAUUUAUGUAAAAAAGCUGUAACAAUUGCCAACACUUUCUCUAAGCACUUGCCACCUGCUACUAAUUUUCCUUUGCCUCUUUUGGCUAAUUCCAUUCGUAACUCCCAUCAUUGGUUAACCUCCCAAAAUACCACGUCUAAAUUUCUCUUGAAAGCUGUACCAAACCCACCAAUCCUUUAACUCUUAAAUCCAUGAUUCAGUAGGAAAAAAAAAACAAAACACAGACAAGAAACCAGAAAACCCAGAAGAGAAAAAAAUUAAAGAAAGAAAAAGAUUUAAUUAGAGAUCAAUAUCAUACCGAGCUUCUAAGGUGGAGAUAUCCAUGCAAAUGAUUGGUGACUGUAGCUUUGCUUCUUCUAGUUCUUCACAUUAAUGGCGAAAAAAAUGAAGUCAAUGGAUCUAAGACACGGGAAAUAUUGCUAACAGUGUCAAAAACACAUGUCGAAUGGAUAAGCACACCUGUUCUUAAUUCUAAAUUCUAACAUUACUCAGUGCAGGAAGAGAAAGUGAAAUUUCAACCAAAUAAUAUUCGACAAGAUUACCUUUAGAAGUUAGGACCAUCAUCAAAUGGCCAUUAUGUAUUUGAGUCACGCAAUUAUAAUACAAAUAGUUUUUACAAGUUUAAUUUAUAAUUAUAUUUGUCGUUAUUUAUUUAUUGAAUGAUAAUCUAUUAUUCAAUUUGCUAAAAAAAUGUAUCGUUAGUCAUUGCUAAUUAAUGAUUAACUAUUAUUGGAUUUUGAAAAGCUAUUCUAAUGCUUAAAUUAUUAAAUUCUCCAAUCAAUUCGCAGUUUAAAAAGAUAUUUAAUAUUUUUUAUUUUUAUUAAUGAAAUAUAUCUAUAUACAUUGAAUUAUGUGCGAUGUAAUUAAUCUCUUACAUCCUAUAAAUAUAAUAAAUAUAGAAAGUGUAAGAUAUUUGGUUAGAUUUCUUUUAUUUGGUAAUCUCCUAAAAAAAAAAUCUAUAUAUAUAUAUAUAUAUAUUUUUUUUUUUUAUGGAGGUAAAAUUUAAAAAAAAAUGUGUAAAAUAACUCAACUACCUUUUGUUAUCAUAUGGAAAAAAAUAAUUAAAAUUAAUUUUUUUUAAACUUUGGUAAGGGAACGGAACUGUAAACAUUCUUAAUUAUAUCAAGUGAACACCACCAAGUUAACACAUAAAUAUUAUAAUCUUCAAUCAUUGUAUAAUUUUGUAUAUUAGAAAAUGAAUUAAGUUAAAUUAUUUUAGUGGAUCCUGUGGCUUUUAUUUUUGUCACGAUUUGUCAAAUCAAUGCCCAACUACUAACUAAGAUGUUGACAACAUUGUUAAUAUAAAAAGAUCAUUAAUCAUGUUAGAAAAUGAAAAUAAGCUUGUUAGAAAUAUGUCAAAUAAAAUACUUAUUUCUCAUUUUUUUUGUAUGAAAAAAUAGAGAAGAAAAUAAAUAAAAUUAAUUUCUGAGUAAUAUUUGAAGUUCACCAUCAAAUAAAAUUAGUUGUUUGAUUUGAAUUUGUUCUAAUGAGUUAAUAUUUCCCAACUAAUUAUCAAAUUUCUUUAUCUAUCCCUAGAAGGUGUAGAAUAUGGAAGGAUAAUUAAUUGAAGGUUUUGAUUGGGCCUAAAAAUGAAUGUUAGUAUCUUAGAGAAAAAAAGAAAAAGAAAAAAAAAAGCUCAGUGGUAGAAUAACGGUGGUUGACAACCACAUUUUGCACUGAUCAUCAUCGUCAUCAUCAUCAUUAUGUAAUAAAUGAGAAUAGUGGAUGUUGACAUGACAUUGUGUUUGAGAGUGAAACUCUCUAAAAUUUAAAUAUUUUGUUUUAACUUAGUUAAGAAAAUUUGAAGAUUUUAAAGAGAAAACGUGUCUCCCUUAACUCUUUCUCUCUCUACUUUAUAACUUUUAUGAAUUUUUAAAUAAUACUAACUCAUUUAAAAUUAAUCUCUAAUUUAUAUCUUUUAAAUAUAAUGGCUCUUGAAUAAUAACUCUUUUAAAAUUACUCUCUAAUUUAUUACUUUUAAAUAUAAUGGCUCUUGAAGUUCUCUUAUAAUUUUAAAUUUUCAAUUAGUUCAAUAUUAUUAGGUUAAGAAUGUUAGGAAUAAAAUUAUACAAAAUAAGUUUGAGAUAAAAUUUUAAUAUUGAGUUUGUUGUAUAUUAAUAUUAAUAUUGUUGGUGCAAAAAGGUAAUAAUUAUAUGGAUUUUGGAUCCGCAAAGUAAAAAUUAACCAAAAAUAAAUACUUGCAAUUAAUAUAUUUUUUGCAUGUGCUAAAUUAAUUUUGAGAUAAAAUUUUAGCAUUAAAUUUUUUCUAUAUUAAUAUUGCAAAUGAAAAUAGGUAUUAGCUAUAUGGAGUUUGGACGAGUAAAUGCAGAAAUUGUUCAAAAAUAAAUAUUUGCAACUAGUAUUAUUUUUGCAUGUGCUUUUAUCUAAUAAUGAUGAUAUAACCAUUUUGAUUUGAAUAAACUUUUUUACGUUCUUUAUUUUCGUUCACCUGCUAUCUUAAAAAUCAUGUUUCACCUUAAUUAGCGUAAACAAUUUUAAUUCUACACGAUAAUAUUUAAGUUUAAAUCAUGAAAUAUUAUAAAGCUCUGCGAAACAUAGAAAAUUGCAUAGUUAAAAAUUAAAGUAUAAAGUUAUAUUAGGAAGCCUCCUGUGUUUACUAAUAAUUAGAUAUGAGAAAUGAUGAAAAAGGCUAGGAGCUCUCCUAAUCUAUGUCAUAAUAACUCUCAUCUUUAAGAAUUUUGAUGUAUUUUAAAAAAUAAAUAAAUAAUAACAAUUAGACAAGGAUGAUUAGUUGAUCAUGAACACACGAGUAAUAUAUUAAUUGAAUAAUGACAAUUUACAAUAAUUAUUAUAUAAUAGAAAUAAUUGAAAUAUUAAAAAUUGGUUCCGGUAAUUGAUCAAGUCGACUAAUUCAAUCACGGAUAGCCAGUUCAAUUAGAUUCUCUUUCUUAAAUGAUGCAAAAGCCAAAUGGAUCCAAUUUUAAAAUUAGUUCACCAAAUUUUCGAGUUAAUUUUUUUUUUUUUUUUUUAAGAGAAAAUUAUGCUUGCACCUUUUAGUUGCGUUGAAUUUAAAGUUUGGUUAAAUUGCAAUUAUACCAUAAUAUUUAAAGCUUCUUUAAGGAAAAACUGAAGGUUGGGAAGUUAAAAUGUAUAAGGUUGAAUUUCUCUCCACACCUUAAAUAAUAAAGUUGUACUAUAAUAUUAUACUCUCUUUAUCCAAAUUAUAAUAAACUCAAAAUAACUUACAAAAAAAUAUUUAAUUUAAUAUAAAUAAUAAUAUGAUUAAAAAAAUAUUUAUUAAUUUUUUAAAUAAUCAAUACGUCUUAUAUUUUAAAAUAAAAUAAUCGCAAUUUAUAUUUAGUAGGGCAAAAAAAGUGCUACCGUUGCCAAAGGAUAAGAUUGAAGCUAAUUAGGCAAAACAUUUACACGCUUUGGUCAAAAUCCUUAAGUACGCGGCUAGCCAAUAUGGAAGCACCCAAACUAUUAACCAGUCUUUCACGUGUGGUCGCGCAAGUCCGUGCGUGUGCGCGCAUGCGCAUGCUUGUGUGUGCGUGUGUCCAUGAUUAUAUUUAGCUUGGUUUGGUAGGAUGAAUAUUGCUACUUUAAAAAAAUAAAAAUAAAAAUAAAAAUUGAUUCAUAUAAUAAAAAAAUUGAGUCAUUUAAUUGAAUAAGAACAUAAAAAUCACACUCUCUCUUCCUUCGUGAUUUACAAGAUAUUUAUGAAAGAAACAAAAAUAAGAAUUUGGAGGAGAAAGCAAGUUGUAGAAAAAGACAGAGAUGCAAGAAAGAAAACUUGUGAAGCACGUGUGCCACCCAAAGGAAUAUCUUAUGGAAAUUGAAAAGGAUUGUACAUUGGCUAACGAAUAAUUAGGCAAUUAGCCUACUAUGAUGGCUUAAUUAAAUUAUUAAUUGACUCGGUAAACUGAUCAAUUAACAAGUAAUUAUAAAAUAGUGGAUCUCCAUUUUAUACUUUUUCUUCUCAUAUACAAUUUUAAAUUUCUACUCAUCAUUUUAAAUUUGGUAAACGGCAGUGGAGUCAAUAUAUAAUUAAUUUUGAAAUGAUAUUCAUAUAAUAAUCAAAUAAGUUCAAAUUAAGUAAAAAUCUAAUUAAUUAAUUAGUAACUUCAAACAUAUACUACUAACCAUUUUGUUUUAGAUUAGUUCAUGAGAAAUUUGUAUAUCUAUAUUGAACUUGAAAUAAAAAUAAAGUUCACUCUUUAUUUAGCAUAGUAUUUUACCCUUUUUGUAAAUUUUUAUUUUUUUUUUCCUUAUUUUUUAUAUUUUAAUUCAACCACUUAAGGUAUCUUUAAAGUUUUAAAAUUAAUAUUUUUUUAUAAUAAUUUAUAUUGAUAUCUAUAUUUUUAAAUCCAUAUAUCUAUGUGUAUUUAUAUCCACACAUAUUUUAUAUAUCAAUUCAUAUCUAAAUCUAUAUAUCUAUAUUAAAGCUGAAUAAAAAAAAAGUUAUAAAUUCGAUUAUCCUUUUUCUUAUAUUCUUUUCCUUUAAAAUUUUUUAAAUUAUUUCUUUAUUUUUCUAUAUUUGAUUGAGCUAGUUAACAAUAUUUUUAAAAUCUUUCUAUCUAUUCAAGCCAAGAUAAAGUAAAAGUUCAAAAUUUGAUUUUCGCUUCAUUUAGUAUUUUGCUUUUUUCUUUUCAAGAAAGUUUUUGACUUUUUAUUUUUAUGUAUUUAUUUUACCGUCUAGGAUAGUUUUUUAAAGUUUAAAAAUUGUGCGUGUGUAUGUGAGAGAGAUAUAUAUUAGGAUGCUUUGUUAAUAUUAUCAUGGUUUUAAUAAAUGAUAUGUCAUUUGUGUCACGUGUAUAGUAAGUACUCUCUUAAAAAAAAAAAAGUUAUUUAUAAUAAUUACGAAUGAAAAUCUAAUAUAUUAAUUAUAUAUCAUUAAAAAAAUACUGAAAGUUCAUAGCUAGUUCUAUUUGUUGGUUUUUAAUAUUUAAAAUUUCAAUUAUUAUAUUAUUUUGAGAUAUUUAUUUAUUUAUUUUUUUGAGUAUUGGGGGAGAGGGAUUUGAAUCCAAAUCUAUUGCUGGGUCGUAUAUGCACUUAUCACUAGAUUAGGAUAAUAAUUAUUUAAGUUUGAAAGUUACUAUUUAUUUAUAAUAAUAUUAGAAAAAUAAUCAUAUUAAUUAAGUCAAAAUUAAAAAAUGUCAAAACUGCCCUCCCUUUAAUUUUACAAUUUUACUUGCAUUCUACUCUAUAGAGUAAAGUAUUCAGUUUCUUGAUUUUGAGCUUAAAUGCACUAAUUACGCUGUAUUUAAUUAGCUCUGAAACUGAAAGUUUUGUUUGAAAUUCUUGUCCUUGAUUUUUGCCUCAGCUGAAACAGUAUAUCUGCUUGGAUUGAAAAUACAAAAGCCUUAUACCCAAUCAUAUUGGGCUUAGCCCAUACAUAUCUAUCCAACUCCAACAUUAACCCUUUCGAGAUCAUUAACAUGAUUGGAUUUGGCUCAAUAUCAUUAUUAUCGGUAGAGAUGUCAUUUUCAAAACAAAAGGGAAAAAGAUACUCGAGCUUCUCAAGUUAGUUUUAGGAUUAUACAUUUGUAAGUUCAAAACUAAUCUAAACUUAGUUAAUCAAAUUGAGGUUUUAAUUUAUUUUUUUGUCUUUCCAAAUUAAUCCUACCAUGCUCUAGUCCAGGAGCACAAGGGGGAAUAAUAAAUUCAAGCUUCCUCCUUUCAAUUUUAAAAGAUAUUCCAUAUUAUCAUAAUCUUUUUUUCGUUAAUUAUGAUUUUCAAACUAUUUUUGAUUUGAGAGAGAAGAGAAAGAACCCACUAUCCAAAAGAAAAACUAUAUAUUAGAGAUUAAAUUAGGAAAGUAAGAACUAUAUCGUAUCAGUUUAAAUGGGUAGAGUAAGGCCAUAAAUGAUUUAUAUAAUUAUCAAUGGCUUAAAAGGAAUGAUAAAAAUAGUUGUACUACUAAUAUAAGAAAAUUUUAUGAUUUUAUCAUUAUAUUUUGUCAUAAUAUAUAAAUUGCUUGCAUUUUUCAGAAAUGCAUACUUUUGUUUUUAUCUUCUCUAUUUCUGUCGAUUUUUUAUACUUUUUUUCGUCAAUAAAUACUACUAUGUUUUUCAUAUAUUUUGUUAAAAUUUACAAUUUAUCCAUUUAUGUAUCAAUUAUUGUCUACAUAUUUCGCUAAAAUUAAGUAGCAAAAUUAAGUAAUUAUCCCUAUAUUUAAUAGAAGGUAGAAAAAAUUAACAUAAGAUACAUCAGUGUGUAACGGAUGAGGUAAAAAAUAUGGAUAAAAUUAUAUAUCUCUAAAUAAAAAAUAAAAUUAUUCGAAUCCAAUCGAUUACAGAUGUUUUUAUCAAUUUAAUAAGCAAGAGGAAAACUACCCCUACCCUUAUUACAUAAUGCAAAUAUUAAACAUUGCUUACCAAUAAUAAUACAUAUUCUUUGUAUUGGAUGCAGAUAAAAGCUUUACCUCAACAAAGAAAAUCUUUAACACCAAAAUGGUAGGGCUCUGACCAAAUGCCAGAAUCAAGAUAAACAAUCAUGCCAUCAAAUCAACUUGCUUUUCUUUCUUUUCUUUUUUUCCAUAAUUACCUUGCCCUUCCUUUUCUCUAUCAAACUGUAAUUUUUAGAUGACAAACAACCAGAGAUAACUACUCUUUUUUGUUUCUCUCUUUUAAUCUUUUGUUAGUUUUUAACUGAAACAAUUAAAGAAUAAAGCCAAACAUAUGAAAAAGCAAACGCAAGAACAGGCUGUUAAGAAAAGAAAGAAAGGAAAGAACAAAAGAGAGGCUCCCAAUAGAAUAAUCCAAAAUAUAUAAAAUGACAGUGAAUAGAAAACUACAAAAAUACAGAGUUUUUCCCCCCACACAGCUCUCCCUCCCUGUCCCUCAAAGAAUACUGAAUACAAAGCAAAUGUGGUUAAUCCCCAGGCAGAAAAAACCAAACCACUGGCCAGUAAGAUAUAGCAAUAAUUUAACAAAACAAUGGUAAUCAAAUAAAAAUAUCAAAUGGUGAGUCCGUAAAUAAAGAAGAAGAGCAUGUGGGGGACAAAAGAUUAAAAUAAUUUAACACCAAUAGCAAUAAUGGACAUUAUAAAACAUAUCUCUCUGUUUUGAUCUCUAGAAGAUCAAAGUCAUUGCUGCCCAUCCCAAUGCCAAGCCUCCGAGCAUCUUCUGUACUGACCUUAUCGAUUCUGAUCCGCUCUGCAAUUUGGAUCAAAAUUCAUUUUCAUAAUCCAGAUGUUAAGAAGAAUAAAUAAACUUGCAUAAAUUUCUACUUUAAUAAUUAUUCACGAGAAUGUUGUUGCCUCUCCCCGUUGGGAAGUUAAUGAUCUGAAAUUCUGAUGUUGAAAUUUCAAUGUUCGGUUUAGAGAAACAAUAAAUACACAUUCAUUAGAAAACCAUUAGCUUGAGAAUUAUUCGAUUCAAGAUAGAUCCUCCUUACGGGAAGUGAAACCGCUUUGUGCCAUAGAUUUUUAUUACUAUUGCAUUAAAACCUUUCAUCAACAGUUAUAAUUUUAUUAAUUAAAAGGACUUGCCCACUGUACUAAUAAAAUUAAUCACCUCCACAUUAAUGUUCUGCAGAUCCACGGAUGACACAGUGCAAUUCACUGUCAUUUGUACUACAGUGAUGGGGCGUGAAUCUUACGCGCCACAGUGUCGCGUUCAUCUCACUAGAGACAAGCGCUUACCACCAGAAGCAGUACUUGAGAAGCGCCAAGCUUUGCUUCCACUAAGCAGUUAUAAGGCAGCACCGACAUUUAGCAUUUCAAUAAUGGAUUAACUUGAGGGGCAAUAAUCCGGUCAUUUUAGGAAAUUUAAGCAUUCUUCACUAAUUUAGGCUCGGUGACCACUAACGAUAUCUAGAUUUUUUUCUAGUGCUAAAGAGGGAAAACACAGACCAUGGAUCUUUGCAUUAAACUUCAGAUCUGGAGGUGCAUUGCACUCCAGCGCAUGUCAGAUGGUAAGCCAAUCGGAAAAACAACUAAAACGAGCACUGGAAAGUAGAAAGUACCUCAUCGGCCACAGAAGCGGGACCAGGAGAGCUGGCGUCAAGGCUCGGUCCAGGUGCCUCCGUCGGUGGAGCUGGUGGACUCGACAACUCCGGACCAGGAGCAGGUGAAGCAGCGUGCUUCUUCGACUUUUUCUUGGUUGGAGUCGGUGCAGGAACCUCGGCGGUUGGCGCAGCCACUGGAGCUGAAGGAGCAGUUUCCGGAGGAGAGCUUGUUGGUGGAGUAACUGGUGCUGGUGAUGGAGGAGAUUGGGCCGGAGAUUUUGCUGGAGUUUUUGCUGGAGGAGAGCUCACUGGAACUGCAACAGGUGGUGAACUAAUAGGAGCGGCGGCAAGUGGUGGUGUAGCUACCGGAGCCGCAGCCGGAGCUGGCACCUUCUGUUUGGUCGGAGAAGCUGCUGGUGUCUUCGCUGGUGGUGAAGACACUGGAACUGCAACAGGAGCAGGCGAUUUAGAUUUUGCUGGUGCUUUAGCAGGUGCAGUUACAGGCGCUGCAGGAGCCAACGGAGUAGCAGUCGGUGCUGCACCUGGAGCUUGGCCGCCGACGCCGGCGACAAUGAUGCACAUUAAUGCAACAGAAAAAACGCUUUUGCGAUCCAUCUUGGCAGAGGAGAGA